CCUACGGGAGGCAGCAGUGGGGAAUAUUGGGCAAUGGGCGCAAGUCUUACCCAGCAAUGCCGCGUGAAUGAAGAAGGUCUUCGGAUUGUAAAGUUCUUUAAUUGGGGACGAAAAAAAUGACGGUACCCAAGUAAUAAGCCCCGGCUAACUACGUGCCAGCAGCCGCGGUAAUACGUAGGGGGCAAGCGUUGUUCGGAAUGACUGGGCGUAAAGGGUGUGUAGGCGGGGUAGAAAGUUAGAAGGGAAAUACCUAGAGCUUAACUCAGGUGCUGCUUCUAAAACUGCUAUACUUGAGUGCAGGAGAGGAAAGCGGAAUUCGUAGUGUAGCGGUGGAAUGCGUAGAUAUUAGGAAGAACAUCAGUGGCGAAGGCGGCUUUCUGGACUGUAACUGACGCUGAGGCACGAAAGUGUGGGGAGCGAACAGGAUUAGAUACCCGAGUAGUC
RNAcentral lists this ribosomal RNA (444 nucleotides) under uncultured bacterium. RNAcentral's name for it is "partial 16S ribosomal RNA". It matches the Rfam family "Bacterial small subunit ribosomal RNA", at positions 338 to 795 of the family's 1533-position model. The record is from RNAcentral.